GAGUUUGAUCCUGGCUCAGGACGAACGCUGGCGGCGUGCCUAAUACAUGCAAGUCGAGCGGACUACCUGGUUGUCUUCGGACAACUAGGUGGUUAGCGGCGGACGGGUGAGUAACACGUAGGCAACCUGCCUGCAAGAUCGGGAUAACAUUCGGAAACGGAUGCUAAUACCGGAUACGCAGCANCCUCGCAUGAGGGAGCUGAGAAAGGCGGAGCAAUCUGCCGCUUGCAGAUGGGCCUGCGGCGCAUUAGCUAGUUGGUGAGGUAACGGCUCACCAAGGCGACGAUGCGUAGCCGACCUGAGAGGGUGAUCGGCCACACUGGGACUGAGACACGGCCCAGACUCCUACGGGAGGCAGCAGUAGGGAAUCUUCCGCAAUGGACGAAAGUCUGACGGAGCAACGCCGCGUGAGUGAUGAAGGUUCUCGGAUCGUAAAGCUCUGUUGCCAGGGAAGAACAGCGAGGCGAGUAACUGCGCUUCGUGUGACGGUACCUGAGAAGAAAGCCCCGGCUAA
Molecule: ribosomal RNA, 514 nt
Filed under: bacterium dtb45
Lineage: Bacteria
Description: bacterial SSU rRNA
Rfam family: Bacterial small subunit ribosomal RNA
Source: RNAcentral